GAUGAACGCUGGCGGCGUGCCUAACACAUGCAAGUCGAACGGACUUUUAAUGAAGCCUAGCGAUUUAAAGUUAGUGGCGGACGGGUGAGUAACGCGUGGGUAACCUGCCUCAUACAGGGGGAUAACACUUAGAAAUAGGUGCUAAUACCGCAUAAGCGCACGGAAUCGCAUGAUUUUGUGUGAAAAACUCCGGUGGUAUGAGAUGGACCCGCGUCUGAUUAGAUAGUUGGUGGGGUAACGGCCUACCAAGUCGACGAUCAGUAGCCGGACUGAGAGGUUGAUCGGCCACAUUGGGACUGAGACACGGCCCAGACUCCUACGGGAGGCAGCAGUGGGAAUAUUGCACAAUGGGCGAAAGCCUGAUGCAGCAACGCCGCGUGAGGGAAGACGGUCUUCGGAUUGUAAACCUCUGUCUUUGGUGAAGAAGAAAGUGACGGUAACCAAGGAGGAAGCCAACGGCUAACUACGUG
This 470-nucleotide ribosomal RNA is filed under the name uncultured bacterium. RNAcentral's name for it is "bacterial SSU rRNA". It matches the Rfam family "Bacterial small subunit ribosomal RNA", at positions 28 to 507 of the family's 1533-position model. The record is from RNAcentral.